Long non-coding RNA from Musa acuminata AAA Group (dessert banana), 448 nucleotides. RefSeq lists it as uncharacterized. The transcript is spliced from 2 exons. The record is from RefSeq and is a predicted model, not a curated record. NCBI's taxonomy places the organism in Eukaryota, Viridiplantae, Streptophyta, Magnoliopsida, Zingiberales, Musaceae.
AAGCGCGUCUCCGCUGCUCGCGGUCCAGCCCCAAUCGCGAGCGGAGGGCCGUCCGCUCCCCUUCUCUUCCGUAGCUGCCGCCGACGACGCGACUACCGGGGAAAGCUGCAGUCAUGGUCAAAUCAAAUGUUGCUGCUGAAGUUGUAUAUGAUCCUUCAAAUUCUCAUUCUUAUAUAUCUCGUUCCAGAUUGUAUGCUAGUGAAAAGUGGAACUUCGUGGUAUAACAUGAUUCUCUUGUUCUGAAUACUGAAAAAGAAUGUUAAAUGCUAAUUUAGAUUCCCUUUUAAGAAAUUUAUGAUUGUAAGAGAUAUUUGUUCUUGAAUAUUCUUAUGCUUCAUGAGUUAAUCCUGUGAGAGUACAGAUCUGGUAAACCUAGAGGAAGAAGAAUGUAGUUGGUUGUAGUUGGUACUUACAGACAAAUUCUACCAAUAUUUGCAGUUUCUCUUCA